This 468-nucleotide ribosomal RNA is filed under the name uncultured bacterium. Its description in RNAcentral is "partial 16S ribosomal RNA". It matches the Rfam family "Bacterial small subunit ribosomal RNA", at positions 28 to 507 of the family's 1533-position model. The record is from RNAcentral.
GAUGAACGCUGGCGGCGUGCUUAACACAUGCAAGUCGAACGGUGAAGGCGGAGCUUGCUCUGCUGGAUCAGUGGCGAACGGGUGAGUAACACGUGAGCAAUCUGCCCCUGACUCUGGGAUAAGCGCUGGAAACGGCGUCUAAUACUGGAUACGAGCUGCGAAGGCAUCUUCAGCAGCUGGAAAGAACUUCGGUCAGGGAUGAGCUCGCGGCCUAUCAGCUUGUUGGUGAGGUAACGGCUCACCAAGGCGUCGACGGGUAGCCGGCCUGAGAGGGUGACCGGCCACACUGGGACUGAGACACGGCCCUGACUCCUACGGGAGGCAGCAGUGGGGAAUAUUGCACAAUGGGCGAAAGCCUGAUGCAGCAACGCCGCGUGAGGGACGACGGCCUUCGGGUUGUAAACCUCUUUUAGCAGGGAAGAAGCGAAAGUGACGGUACCUGCAGAAAAAGCGCCGGCUAACUACGUG